GAAUUAGGCUGGAAUACAACGCUCUUUUUGCUAUCAAGUUUUUAACCCUUGGAUGAAAAAUUGUAGGGUCGGGAUGAUAUUAGUCGGUUAGAGUUGAAUGGUCCCCCUAGGGUUGAGUGGUCCUCACUGGGUUAUAGUAUUUAAUCUAAUGGUUAUAAAUAAUGAAAAGAGUUAAUCCAAAGGCUAAAAAACUGGUAGCAACAAUAGAAUUUUGUUACUAAUAGUAGCCUAGUCCAACUAUAUAUAUAUAUAUAUUAUGGAUGCGUCAUGGACGAAAAGUCCAACAGGCGUCCAUGGUAUGUCGUCCAUGUUGGACACGAGUCCAACACGAACACGUGAGACUUAUAGCUAGCCACGUCCGUGGUACAUAGCAUGUAAUGUGAUUUUUGUCUGCUAAUUAUCGAGUUUAAGCUAAGUUGAUCAUUAGAUGAAUAAUAUAAAAAAUAUUAUGAAAUUUAUUUUUUAAAUACUUCAAAUAUUUUAGAUCAAAUUUAAUAGAACCAAUUGCUAAUUUGGAAGUUUCUUUAUUGAAACAACUUGGAAGCACGAUUUUUCGAUAUUAUUUAUCUAUCUAGAGAUGGAGUGAUUUCAAAAUAAACGACUAAAUCAGAAUGAUCCAUCGUUCCGAUAAGUUUUGUACCUUUUAACCUUUAUAAAUGUAUAACCCACU
RNAcentral lists this long non-coding RNA (670 nucleotides) under Ananas comosus (pineapple). Its description in RNAcentral is "long non-coding RNA (ACOM_LNC031262)". The record is from RNAcentral. Lineage: Eukaryota; Viridiplantae; Streptophyta; Magnoliopsida; Poales; Bromeliaceae.